Molecule: ribosomal RNA, 486 nt
Filed under: uncultured bacterium
Lineage: Bacteria
Description: partial 16S ribosomal RNA
Rfam family: Bacterial small subunit ribosomal RNA
Source: RNAcentral
AUUGAACGCUGGCGGCAUGCCUUACACAUGCAAGUCGAACGGCAGCACGGGUGCUUGCCCCUGGUGGCGAGUGGCGAACGGGUGGGUAAUACAUCGGAACAUGUCCUGUAGUGGGGGAUAGCCCGGCGAAAGCCGGAUUAAUACCGCCUACGAUCUACGGAUGAAAGCGGGUGACCUUCGGGCCUCGCGCUAUAGGGUUGGCCGAUGGCGGAUUAGCUAGUUGGUGGGGUAAAGGCCUACCAAGGCGACGAUCAGUAGCUGGUCUGAGAGUACGACCAGCCACACUGGGACUGAGACACGGCCCAGACUCCUACGGGAGGCAGCAGUGGGGAAUGUGGGACAAUGGGCGAAAGCCUGAUCCAGCAAUGCCGCGGGUGUGAAGAAGGCCUUCGGGUUGUAAAGCACUUUUGUCCGGAAAGAAAUCCUUGGCCCUAAUACGGUCGGGGGAUGACGGUACCGGAAGAAUAAGCACCGGCUAACUACGUG